Molecule: ribosomal RNA, 716 nt
Filed under: uncultured bacterium
Lineage: Bacteria
Description: bacterial SSU rRNA
Rfam family: Bacterial small subunit ribosomal RNA
Source: RNAcentral
AGGCUUAACACAUGCAWGUCGAGCGGGCACUUCGGUGUCAGCGGCGGACGGGUGAGUAACGCGUGGGAACGUGCCUUCUGGUUCGGAAUAACUCAGGGAAACUUGAGCUAAUACCGGAUACGCCCUUAUGGGGRAAGGUUUACUGCCGGAAGAUCGGCCCGCGUCUGAUUAGCUAGUUGGUGGGGUAACGGCCUACCAAGGCGACGAUCAGUAGCUGGUCUGAGAGGAUGAUCAGCCACACUGGGACUGAGACACGGCCCASACUCCUACGGGAGGCAGCAGUGGGAAUAUUGGACAAUGGGGGCAACCCUGAUCCAGCCAUGCCGCGUGAGUGAUGACGGCCUUAGGGUUGUAAAGCUCUUUUCUCCGGGACGAUAAUGACGGUACCGGAGGAAUAAGCCCCGGCUAACUUCGUGCCAGCAGCCGCGGUAAUACGAAGGGGGCUAGCGUUGCUCGGAAUCACUGGGCGUAAAGGGCGCGUAGGCGGCUGAUUUAGUCGAGGGUGAAAGCCCGUGGCUCAACCACGGAAUGGCCUUCGAUACUGGUUGGCUUGAGACCGGAAGAGGACAGCGGAACUGCGAGUGUAGAGGUGAAAUUCGUAGAUAUUCGCAAGAACACCAGUGGCGAAGGCGGCUGUCUGGUCCGGUUCUGACGCUGAGGCGCGAAAGCGUGRGAGCAAACAGGAUUAGAUACCCUGGUAGUCAAUCACUAGUGAA